GACGAACGCUGGCGGCGUGCUUAACACAUGCAAGUCGAGCGGUAAGGCCCUUUCGGGGGUACACGAGCGGCGAACGGGUGAGUAACACGUGGGUGACCUGCCCUCAGCUCUGGGAUAAGCCUGGGAAACCGGGUCUAAUACCGGAUAUGACUCCAUGACGCAUGUUGUGGGGUGGAAAGCCUUGUGCGGCUGAGGAUGGGCCCGCGGCCUAUCAGCUUGUUGGUGGGGUGAUGGCCUACCAAGGCGACGACGGGUAGCCGGCCUGAGAGGGCGACCGGCCACACUGGGACUGAGACACGGCCCAGACUCCUACGGGAGGCAGCAGUGGGGAAUCUUGCGCAAUGGGCGAAAGCCUGACGCAGCGACGCCGCGUGAGGGAUGACGG
This 385-nucleotide ribosomal RNA is filed under the name uncultured bacterium. RNAcentral describes it as "bacterial SSU rRNA". It matches the Rfam family "Bacterial small subunit ribosomal RNA", at positions 28 to 414 of the family's 1533-position model. The record is from RNAcentral.